RNAcentral lists this long non-coding RNA (410 nucleotides) under Triticum aestivum (bread wheat). Its description in RNAcentral is "long non-coding RNA (TAES_LNC020169)". Lineage: Eukaryota; Viridiplantae; Streptophyta; Magnoliopsida; Poales; Poaceae. The record is from RNAcentral.
UUCCAUGCAGAAGAAGAAUGCAUCAUCUACCAAGGACCAGGAAGCAACACUAAAUUAUGGCAUGAUAUUAUUCACUUCUUUUUGUUGCCAAUGAACACUAAAUUGUUCACUUGCUAAUACAAGACUGCAACCACUACAUAGCCCUGUAUAUCCACCAAAUACAUUAAUUAGUUUCCCGUGGACAAAAAAUCUUAAACAGUACUUGAUGUUUCCACGAAAGGCUUGCCAGGAGUUGUUGUGUGACUGUCAAAAAUUGAGCAUAAUUGAUUAUGAAGAGAUGCUUGAUGGUAAAGAAUCAAAGUAGAUUGCUACCUAGUGAGGAAAAUUCUCUCACCUCGUACACAUCGCUGUUAUCUCUGGCCAUCAGCAGCUAUCGCCCCAGGUGCAGAUGCACUUCCAUAAUCCAUACU